GUGGCAACAGGCAAACAUCCCUCUCUGCUGACUGACGGCGGUUUGGGUGCGACUCGCUGUGUUUGUUCCAGCGUGUUGGAGAGCAGCAGGAAUCUUCAGCAGACAGAUGUGGCAGCUGGACCACACCAGCCAAUAGGAGGCCAGAGCCUGGUGGCCGUUAGUCACAUGACUGCUGCUGCUUCCUGUCCGACCAUGGCCUCCUCAGUGAGGAAACAAACAGAGACAACAUCAGAGACGGCCCCACCUACCUGCAUGAUGAUCACUGAAGUGGAGUUUCCAGUCUGAAAGCAGGAUUCCACACAAAUCAGGUCUGGUCUGGACGAAUCUGAGGACGAAACAUCUGGAGAUGGAAACUAUCACCAGUGAACCUGAUAACCAGUGAACCUGAUCACCAGUUAAACUGGAACAGCGGCACCAAUAGAUGACCAGUAUCACUGAAAACAACAUCUGUGGUUAACAGGACAAAUUCCAGCUCUCUCCAAAUCAGCAUCAGACACAUGAUUGAUCUUCUUAAACUGUUCUCCAGCAGAACCUCCUGACUCUCAUUAUAGAACAAUGUGGAGCUCCAUGAUUUCUGUGUGGGGUUUUCACUCUCAAAAACAGAAUAAAAUAGGAAAAGGGCUCGAGGACAGCCAUUCUAGAUGUGUUCACGGUCCAGACCAGCUCUAAACUGUUCUUCCUCGGUGACUUCCGGUGUUGCUACAAAAUAAAACAACAGCCGUAUUUUGUAUUUCGGGUUUAAAAGCUCGACCAAAAAAGAAUUACAGACAAACUUUAACAAAAGCUGCCUGGGAGUUUACAGGUUUUUAUGUUAAAUUUCUUCAGUAAUUUAAUGAGAGUUAUUAGCAAAAAUCAAGUGUUCAUUUGAUGAACUUCAUUUCCUAAAAACAUCCAGAAUUGGAGCUCAUAUCUUUGACAGCUGUAAAGUUUCUGCUCCUUCAAAGUUCACAACACAAUGAAUGAAUUCCUAAAACACUCUCAAUGCUGGAGAGCAUUUGAUGCUGAAGCAGUGAGCAGUUUUUCUGUUUCUUCUCUGGAGAUGCACAAUGAGGGACGUCUGCAGCGACUGAGAAAGAGUCUCACCACAUCCUGACAUGAGGAAAAAGACUUUAUUGAAGACUACAAUGAGAAAAACUAUCAGACAGCAGACGGCUGCAUUCAAGAGAGGAAGACCAUCAAACAUCCACGUCAGCUGAUGGAGGUCCAAGAGUCUCACCCAACAAACAACCUACAGAGUGAAGACCUCCAAUCUGAUUGGACGGCCUCCUAUUCAGCCACAUUUUAGGCUGUUAGAUUGUUCCAGAUAAGACAAGUACAAGAUUCUUCAGAGCCUUUCUACCACGAGCCUGACAGGAAGAACUCCAACAGCUACUGAAUGUUCCUGUGGUUCCCUCAAGGCUACAGGAGGAGUCCUACGAGGACGAGCUGGUCCACCUGAUGGUGGCCAGUCACUGCGGUUCAAAGCCAACACCGACUACGUGGACUUCUACUGGACCACAUGGAGGCCUUCAAACCGGACCAACAAGUUCAGCGACUCCCCGACUCGUGGGUCUGAGGACGCCGCCGAGCCUCGGUCCAGCCGGCCUCCUGUCUGUGGGUGUUUGAGUGCUGAGAGGUUUGUGGAUGCAUGUGAACGUUCUGUGUUGAAACAGCAGCUUUGGACUCAGUAACGCCGGGAAAAACCAAGAGCUCCUUUAUUUGUGACUUCCACUAAAAAAACUGAAGAAAAUAAGUUUGCCAGGGUUCUGACUGAUAACAGAUUAUUAAAUAAUGAAAAUAAUCCUUUAAAUGUUCCUUUAAACAAUCCUUUUAGGUCUACAUUUCCUUUACACUGACUUCUUGGUGCAUGUACAAGUAUUUUGGGUGGAAUAUACCAAUAAGCCCAAUGUUCAAGGGUUCUUCUGGGAAUAUAUCAUUAAACCAACCUUUUAGGUAAAUGUUCCAGGAUGUUGGGUAGAAUAUACCAUCAGAUCAACCUUUUAGGUCUACAUUGGAAGAUUUUAGAGUAGAAUAUUGCUCCAAACC
Amphiprion ocellaris (clown anemonefish) is the source of this 2025-nucleotide long non-coding RNA. Lineage: Eukaryota; Metazoa; Chordata; Actinopteri; Pomacentridae. The record is from Ensembl.